Molecule: ribosomal RNA, 449 nt
Filed under: uncultured bacterium
Lineage: Bacteria
Description: bacterial SSU rRNA
Rfam family: Bacterial small subunit ribosomal RNA
Source: RNAcentral
UACCAGACUCCUACGGGAGGCAGCAGUAGGGAAUCUUUCACAAUGGGCGAAAGCCUGAUGGAGCAACGCCGCGUGCAGGAUGAAGGCCUUCGGGUUGUAAACUGCUUUUAUAAGCGAGAAAUAUGAUGGUAACUUAUGGAUAAGGAUCGGCUAACUACGUGCCAGCAGCCGCGGUAAUACGUAGGGGGCAAGCGUUGUUCGGAAUGACUGGGCGUAGAGGGUGCGUAGGCGGUGUAGCAAGUUAGAAGUGAAAUACCUAGAGCUUAACUCAGGUGCUGCUUCUAAAACUGCUAUACUUGAGUGCAGUAGAGGAAAGUGGAAUUCCUAGUGUAGCGGUGGAAUGCGUAGAUAUUAGGAGGAACAUCAGUGGCGAAGGCGACUUUCUGGACUGUAACUGACGCUGAGGCACGAAAGUGUGGGGAGCAAACAGGAUUAGAUACCCGGGUAGA